This 265-nucleotide ribosomal RNA is filed under the name uncultured archaeon. RNAcentral's name for it is "partial 16S ribosomal RNA". It matches the Rfam family "Archaeal small subunit ribosomal RNA", at positions 717 to 982 of the family's 1478-position model. The record is from RNAcentral.
ACACGACUACAUUAGAUACCCGCGUAGUCCUAGCCGUAAACGAUACUCGCUAGGUGUCGGCCACGGUGCGACCGUUGUCGGUGCCGUAGGGAAGCCGUGAAGCGAGCCACCUGGGAAGUGCGGCCGCAAGGCUGAAACUUAAAGGAAUUGGCGGGGGAGCACAACAACGGGUGGAGCUUGCGGUUUAAUUGGAUUCAACGCCGGAAAUCUUACCGGGACCGACAGCAACAUGAAGGCCAAGCUGAAGACUUUGCCGGAUUAGCUG